UACGUAGGGUGCAAGCGUUGUCCGGAAUUAUUGGGCGUAAAGAGCUCGUAGGCGGUCUGUCGCGUCUGCUGUGAAAACUCGGGGCUUAACCCCGGGCCUGCAGUGGGUACGGGCAGACUAGAGUGCGGUAGGGGAGACUGGAAUUCCUGGUGUAGCGGUGAAAUGCGCAGAUAUCAGGAGGAACACCGGUGGCGAAGGCGGCUCACUGGCCCGGUACUGACGCUGAGGUGCGAAAGCGUGGGGAGCAAACAGG
RNAcentral lists this ribosomal RNA (253 nucleotides) under uncultured bacterium. RNAcentral's name for it is "partial 16S ribosomal RNA". It matches the Rfam family "Bacterial small subunit ribosomal RNA", at positions 524 to 776 of the family's 1533-position model. The record is from RNAcentral.